GAGUUCCUACGGGAUGCAGCAGUGGGGGAUAUUGGACAAUGGGGGGAACCCUGAUCCAGCGACGCCGCGUGAGUGAAGAAGUAUUUCGGUAUGUAAAGCUCUGUCAGCAGGGAAGAAAGAAAUGACGGUACCUGACCAAGAAGCCCCGGCUAACUACGUGCCAGCAGCCGCGGUAAUACGUAGGGGGCAAGCGUUAUCCGGAAUUACUGGGUGUAAAGGGAGCGUAGACGGUUAAGUAAGUCUGGAGUGAAAGGCAGGGGCC
RNAcentral lists this ribosomal RNA (262 nucleotides) under uncultured bacterium. RNAcentral describes it as "partial 16S ribosomal RNA". It matches the Rfam family "Bacterial small subunit ribosomal RNA", at positions 333 to 609 of the family's 1533-position model. The record is from RNAcentral.